CAACAAGGAAGGCCACCUGCCAAGGCCAAGCUGACCUCCCCCUCAGUUUCAUCCUGAGAGAGAGAGAGGGAAUGGAGCAAGAAGAGGCACAAAUGGAAGAGAAGAGGAUGAAAAGGUCAUCGUGAGAGAAGAAGGCUCUGGAGAAAGGAGGUACAAAGACACGCUCAGUCAGAGAGGCCAGGCUGCCCUGGAGUUCCUCAGUGGCCUCGGAUGGCCUUGCAUGAAGAUGCAGCCCACUGGGACUCAGUGAAAUAUGCCAUCAGUAACAGCAAUAUUGUCACCUUUAUUGUGUCUCACACAGACCACAGAUUGUAG
Oreochromis aureus is the source of this 315-nucleotide long non-coding RNA. RefSeq lists it as uncharacterized. NCBI's taxonomy places the organism in Eukaryota, Metazoa, Chordata, Actinopteri, Cichliformes, Cichlidae. The record is from RefSeq and is a predicted model, not a curated record. The transcript has 3 exons.